RNAcentral lists this ribosomal RNA (250 nucleotides) under uncultured bacterium. RNAcentral's name for it is "partial 16S ribosomal RNA". It matches the Rfam family "Bacterial small subunit ribosomal RNA", at positions 524 to 773 of the family's 1533-position model. The record is from RNAcentral.
UACAGAGGUGGCAAGCGUUGUUCGGAAUCACUGGGCUUAAAGGGUGCGCAGGCGGUCGGAAGGGUGUCUUGUGAAAUCCCUCGGCUCAACCGAGGAAUUGCGGGGCAAACCGUCCGACUUGAGGCAGGUAGGGGUUGAUGGAACUCUGGGUGGAGCGGUGAAAUGCGUAGAUAUCCAGGGGAACGCCAAUGGCGAAAGCAGUCAACUGGGCCUGUCCUGACGCUGAGGCACGAAAGCCAGGGGAGCAAAC